UGCGUAGGCGGGCUAAUAAGUCAGUGGUGAAAUCUCUCGGCUCAACCGGGAAACUGCCAUUGAUACUGUUAAUCUUGAGUUCGGUUGAGGUAGGCGGAAUGUGUAAUGUAGCGGUGAAAUGCUUAGAUAUUACACAGAACACCAAUUGCGUAGGCAGCUUACUAGACCGACACUGACGCUGAGGCACGAAAGCGUGGGGAGCGAACAGGAUUAGAUACCCUGGUAGUCC
This 229-nucleotide ribosomal RNA is filed under the name uncultured bacterium. Its description in RNAcentral is "partial 16S ribosomal RNA". It matches the Rfam family "Bacterial small subunit ribosomal RNA", at positions 568 to 796 of the family's 1533-position model. The record is from RNAcentral.